AGUUAAGACAGUGGCGGCAGAAGGACCUGGAACCGUAAAGGAUGAAAUGUGCUCGUGAAUCGGGGUAAGGGGACGAUUCCUGAGGUGUGGAAUUAGUUUUUGGCCAGGGCUGGGUUUGAACCCACCACCUCCAGCAUAUGGGGCUGGCGCCCUACUCCUUUGAGCCACGGGCACCGCCCAGAAGAAUCUGUAUUUGUAACAAGAAUCUUCACAACUCUGUAGAUACUGGGAUAAAAUUGUGGCAAUUGUGAACUGAGCUGCAAUAAACAUCCUAGUGCAAAUGUCCUUGUGAGAUGUGGAAUCAACCCAAG
Molecule: long non-coding RNA, 311 nt
Organism: Nycticebus coucang (slow loris)
Lineage: Eukaryota; Metazoa; Chordata; Mammalia; Primates; Lorisidae
Exons: 3
Source: RefSeq, a predicted model, not a curated record